UACGGAGGGUGCAAGCAUUGAUCGGAAUUACUGGGCGUAAAGGGCGCGUAGGCGGCAAGAUAAGUCGGAUGUGAAAUUCCGGGGCUCAACCCCGGAGCUGCAUUUGAAACUGUCUAGCUAGAGUACAGUUAGGGUAAACGGAAUUCCACGUGUAGCGGUGAAAUGCGUAGAUAUGUGGAAGAACACCGGUGGUGAAGACGGUUUACUGGGCUGAAACUGACGCUGAGGCGCGAAAGCAUGGGGAGCAAACAGG
This 253-nucleotide ribosomal RNA is filed under the name uncultured bacterium. RNAcentral describes it as "partial 16S ribosomal RNA". It matches the Rfam family "Bacterial small subunit ribosomal RNA", at positions 524 to 776 of the family's 1533-position model. The record is from RNAcentral.